This 510-nucleotide unclassified non-coding RNA is filed under the name uncultured Glomus. RNAcentral describes it as "SSU rRNA". It matches the Rfam family "Eukaryotic small subunit ribosomal RNA", at positions 569 to 1081 of the family's 1831-position model. The record is from RNAcentral. Lineage: Eukaryota; Fungi; Glomeromycota; Glomeromycetes; Glomerales; Glomeraceae.
AGCAGCCGCGGUAAUUCCAGCUCCAAUAGCGUAUAUUAAAGUUGUUGCAGUUAAAAAGCUCGUAGUUGAAUUUCGGGAUCAAUAUGUUGGUCGUGCCUCGGUACGUACUAGCAUAUUGGUCUCUCCUUUCUGAAGAACCAUGAUGUCAUUUAUUUGGUGUCGUGGGGAAUCAGGACUGUUACUUUGAAAAAAUUAGAGUGUUUAAAGCAGGCUCACGCUUGAAUACAUUAGCAUGGAAUAAUGAAAUAGGACGUUUGAUUCUAUUUUGUUGGUUUCUAGGAUCGACGUAAUGAUUAAUAGGGAUAGUUGGGGGCAUUAGUAUUCAAUUGUCAGAGGUGUAAUUCUUGGAUUUAUUGAAGACUAACUACUGCGAAAGCAUUUGCCAAGGAUGUUUUCAUUAAUCAAUGAACGAAAGUUAGGGGAUCGAAGACGAUCAGAUACCGUCGUAGUCUUAACCAUAAACUAUGCCGACUAGGGAUCGGAUGAUGUUAAUUUUUUAAUGACUCAUUC